Molecule: ribosomal RNA, 1528 nt
Filed under: Klebsiella pneumoniae
Lineage: Bacteria; Pseudomonadati; Pseudomonadota; Gammaproteobacteria; Enterobacterales; Enterobacteriaceae
Also listed under: 1 other name
Description: bacterial SSU rRNA
Rfam family: Bacterial small subunit ribosomal RNA
Source: RNAcentral
AGAGUUUGAUCAUGGCUCAGAUUGAACGCUGGCGGCAGGCCUAACACAUGCAAGUCGAGCGGUAGCACAGAGAGCUUGCUCUCGGGUGACGAGCGGCGGACGGGUGAGUAAUGUCUGGGAAACUGCCUGAUGGAGGGGGAUAACUACUGGAAACGGUAGCUAAUACCGCAUAACGUCGCAAGACCAAAGUGGGGGACCUUCGGGCCUCAUGCCAUCAGAUGUGCCCAGAUGGGAUUAGCUAGUAGGUGAGGUAACGGCUCACCUAGGCGACGAUCCCUAGCUGGUCUGAGAGGAUGACCAGCCACACUGGAACUGAGACACGGUCCAGACUCCUACGGGAGGCAGCAGUGGGGAAUAUUGCACAAUGGGCGCAAGCCUGAUGCAGCCAUGCCGCGUGUGUGAAGAAGGCCUUCGGGUUGUAAAGCACUUUCAGCGGGGAGGAAGGCGUUAAGGUUAAUAACCUUGGCGAUUGACGUUACCCGCAGAAGAAGCACCGGCUAACUCCGUGCCAGCAGCCGCGGUAAUACGGAGGGUGCAAGCGUUAAUCGGAAUUACUGGGCGUAAAGCGCACGCAGGCGGUCUGUCAAGUCGGAUGUGAAAUCCCCGGGCUUAACCUGGGAACUGCAUUCGAAACUGGCAGGCUAGAGUCUUGUAGAGGGGGGUAGAAUUCCAGGUGUAGCGGUGAAAUGCGUAGAGAUCUGGAGGAAUACCGGUGGCGAAGGCGGCCCCCUGGACAAAGACUGACGCUCAGGUGCGAAAGCGUGGGGAGCAAACAGGAUUAGAUACCCUGGUAGUCCACGCCGUAAACGAUGUCGAUUUGGAGGUUGUGCCCUUGAGGCGUGGCUUCCGGAGCUAACGCGUUAAAUCGACCGCCUGGGGAGUACGGCCGCAAGGUUAAAACUCAAAUGAAUUGACGGGGGCCCGCACAAGCGGUGGAGCAUGUGGUUUAAUUCGAUGCAACGCGAAGAACCUUACCUGGUCUUGACAUCCACAGAACUUUCCAGAGAUGGAUUGGUGCCUUCGGGAACUGUGAGACAGGUGCUGCAUGGCUGUCGUCAGCUCGUGUUGUGAAAUGUUGGGUUAAGUCCCGCAACGAGCGCAACCCUUAUCCUUUGUUGCCAGCGGUCCGGCCGGGAACUCAAAGGAGACUGCCAGUGAUAAACUGGAGGAAGGUGGGGAUGACGUCAAGUCAUCAUGGCCCUUACGACCAGGGCUACACACGUGCUACAAUGGCAUAUACAAAGAGAAGCGACCUCGCGAGAGCAAGCGGACCUCAUAAAGUAUGUCGUAGUCCGGAUUGGAGUCUGCAACUCGACUCCAUGAAGUCGGAAUCGCUAGUAAUCGUAGAUCAGAAUGCUACGGUGAAUACGUUCCCGGGCCUUGUACACACCGCCCGUCACACCAUGGGAGUGGGUUGCAAAAGAAGUAGGUAGCUUAACCUUCGGGAGGGCGCUUACCACUUUGUGAUUCAUGACUGGGGUGAAGUCGUAACAAGGUAACCGUAGGGGAACCUGCGGUUGGAUCACCU